CCCUCUCUCUGUCUCUCUCUCGAUCGAAGUCGCGAAGAUGUUGGGGUCGGAGGAUGGUCGAUUGAUUUUUUUCCUUCUCUUCCUCUCCUUCUCUCUCUCUAUCUCGAUUGAACUCGGAGGAGAUUGAAUUCGGAUAUUGCCCAUCUCGGCUUUUUGAUUCCGGAUGCUUUGCCUCCAAAAGAAAUUGAUCCUGCAAGAGAAGCACUGCAAAAUGGCCGAUCUUGUACUCUGCUUGGGUACCAGGCAGCCGAUGUUUUGCGGAGACGUCAGGAAGAAGAGAAAAGCUCUGUAAUGCUGGUUGCAACUAUUGGUGGAAUCUAUUGGUGGUAUAAGACAUCUUCACAUCCUGCUGCAAUUUUAGCUUUGAGAGGUUUGGGUUAGAGGAACGGUUGCAGCGAAGCCAGGAGAGUUCUCUGCCAUUGUCAAUGACCAUGGAGAUGUUUUGAGGAGGAGUGCUGACGGUGAGAGUGACGUUGUGGUGGAAAUGGAGUUUGUCGGUGGGUCGAUGAUCCGUUGGAGUUAUUUGUGUCUUUAAAGGCAAAACAAGUGUUUGAGAUGAAGAUGAAGAUGAAGAAGAAGAAGAGAAACAUUUAUGUGUUCUCAUGAGUAGAAUAAGAAGAAGAUGAAACAGAGGAUGUAAUCUUGAGAACGAAGUUUUUUGAUUAUUGUAAGUUUGAGAAAAUUUUCAA
Long non-coding RNA from Camelina sativa (false flax), 689 nucleotides. RefSeq lists it as uncharacterized. The record is from RefSeq and is a predicted model, not a curated record. NCBI's taxonomy places the organism in Eukaryota, Viridiplantae, Streptophyta, Magnoliopsida, Brassicales, Brassicaceae.